RNAcentral lists this ribosomal RNA (253 nucleotides) under uncultured bacterium. RNAcentral describes it as "partial 16S ribosomal RNA". It matches the Rfam family "Bacterial small subunit ribosomal RNA", at positions 524 to 776 of the family's 1533-position model. The record is from RNAcentral.
UACGUAGGGGGCAAGCGUUGUCCGGAAUCAUUGGGCGUAAAGAGCGUGUAGGCGGCUCGGUAAGUCCGCUCUGAAAGCCCGGGGCUCAACCCCGGGAGGCGGGCGGAUACUGUCGGGCUAGAGUCCGGAAGAGGCGAGUGGAAUUCCUGGUGUAGCGGUGAAAUGCGCAGAUAUCAGGAGGAACACCAACGGCGAAGGCAGCUCGCUGGGACGGUACUGACGCUGAGACGCGAAAGCGUGGGGAGCAAACAGG